This 495-nucleotide ribosomal RNA is filed under the name uncultured bacterium. RNAcentral's name for it is "partial 16S ribosomal RNA". It matches the Rfam family "Bacterial small subunit ribosomal RNA", at positions 28 to 523 of the family's 1533-position model. The record is from RNAcentral.
GAUGAACGCUAGCGGCAGGCUUAACACAUGCAAGUCGAGGGGUAUUGGUUUUCGGACCAAGAGACCGGCGCACGGGUGCGUAACGCGUAUGCAAUCUACCUUUUGCAGAGGGAUAGCCCAGAGAAAUUUGGAUUAAUACCUCAUAGUAUAGUAGUUUCGCAUGAAACGACCAUUAAAGUUCCAACGGCAAAAGAUGAGCAUGCGUCCCAUUAGCUAGUUGGUAAGGUAACGGCUUACCAAGGCAACGAUGGGUAGGGGUCCUGAGAGGGAGAUCCCCCCACACUGGUACUGAGACACGGACCAGACUCCUACGGGAGGCAGCAGUGAGGAAUAUUGGACAAUGGGCGCAAGCCUGAUCCAGCCAUGCCGCGUGCAGGUUGACGGUCCUAUGGAUUGUAAACUGCUUUUGUACAGGAAGAAACACUCCCUCGUGAGGGAGCUUGACGGUACUGUAAGAAUAAGGAUCGGCUAACUCCGUGCCAGCCGCCGCCGUAA